Molecule: long non-coding RNA, 2031 nt
Organism: Cicer arietinum (chickpea)
Lineage: Eukaryota; Viridiplantae; Streptophyta; Magnoliopsida; Fabales; Fabaceae
Source: RefSeq, a predicted model, not a curated record
ACGCUGGAGAUCAGUGAGUCUGUGAACUAUUAGAACUUCGCAACAUGCAAAGUGGGCCAAAAAUAGGUGAAUAGAAAAAUUACCGCCAAAACCAUUUCGAACGAUUUGUGACAAUUCGAAACGGAAAAUGAGUGACGGCGUGUUUCCGUCUCUGUAAUGGACGCCAACAUCGUUGAGAUUUUUCCCCAAUUCCCCUUCUCAAUAAACGGAAACGCGCUGUUUUGUGCGAUGUGAUUGACAUUGAUGGCGAUGGCGAUGAUUUAGUGAUAAUAGGUGAAAAAGUCAGUAACAUUAAGAUUAAGCUGUUAUUUGUCAUUUCUGCAAUGGAUUAAUAUUAUACAUUAUGCUCAGGAUAUAUCUGACAUUCAUGACGAUGAUGACUCUGAUGAUUUAGUGCUAAUUGAUGAAAAAGUAAGUAAAAGUAACAUGAGGAACACAAUUGAAGCCAUUAAUCAAGUUGUAGUUUGUAUAACAUUAAGAUUGAUAUUUGAUUUGUCAUCUCUCGCAGUAGAUUGGUAUUAUCUUUUCUAACUUCUAAACGUCUUUUACAUUUUGCUUUGAAUUCUUUUUGGAAUGUAUCUGGAUAUAUUUUUUUUCACCCUGGCGUUGAAUAUGAUCAAGGUUUGAAGAAUAGUACUUACAAAAACAGUCACAGUAAGGGGUGGUUUGAAUCUUUCAUUAGGAGUAGAAUCAUCUUAUUCUGAGAGGUUGUCGAAAUAUUUCCGCUGUAAAAUGAAGCAUGCUAGUUUGGAUGGCAAUCUAGAGGUCAUGAACCAUUUUCCCCCAAAUCUAAAACUGCCAAGAAGACAGGUGGUUGUAGCAGUUCAUACCUUGCAAAUUUCAAAGAUGAAAUUGUGAGGAAAUUUGGAAGUUUUAAGCAAUUCAACAUUAUCAGUGACACUUCAGACCGUUUAUUUAUUCACAAAGAUUCCUCCUUGAAGGAGAUUCAAUAUUUGUUCGAGCUUAUGAAUCAAGGAUGGAUCUCAUGAGGGCUGUAAUUAUUGGAGCCGAAGGGACUCCAAAUGUGGGACCAGGUGGCUCUAUAUGCCUGAGUCUACUUAACACUUGGAAGGGCGACAAGAAUGAGUGUUGGCUUCCACGCUUUUCAACAAUUCUACAGGUUUUGGUCUCCAUACAAGGUCUAGUCUUGACUGCCAAUCCUUUCUCUAAUGCACCUGGGAAUGGUGGCUUUUGGCGUAGUUUGAAUCCUGACGUUAUAAUGAGGAGGUGUUCAAUGAUUCACUAUGGACAAUGAUUACAUAUGAUUAGGAGGCCUCCAAAGGGUUGUUUUUAGGCUUGGUUGAAUUUUCUAGUAUCUCUAGAAAGUUUGCUUUGCCAUGUUCAUUUGUAGCGUGGGGGAAAUUUUUCUUUAGGAAGAUGACAAAAAAAAUACUAUAUAAUAUAGGAAACAAUGUUAGGAAUCUAGACCUAGCAUAUUACACAUAUCAUAUAUACAGUCUUUCAUUUGUCAGUAGCUGAUAUCUUGCCAUUGAACAUUGUCCACUUACUUGAGCUUAUUAAUCAAGACGUUUCAAAGGUUUGAUUAAACAUUACUUCUUGAUUUUGAUAGUAUAGUUUGUUUAUGCCUUGUCAAGUUUAAUGUGGACUAAGACCUUAUCUUGAUUUCUCAAUGCAAUAGACAACAUUCACCAUAUCUUUUCACCUCCAUUUACUCUCACAGUAUCACAACUAAACAUCCGUUUCUUCAAAGUCCUUCCUCAUUCACUUGAAAAUUAGAAAAAAGAAAAAAACUGAACCCUAUCACCUUGUGUGCAUCUAGAAGCAUAACGGUACAAAAGAACGGUAGAGUCUACUUUUUGAUGGACAUGUAAGUUGGUUGUAAAAUGUUAUGUGUGGAUUGUCGUUCGAGAAAAAUUGAGCAUGUAGAAAUUGUGCCAUUGUUAUAUUUUCAUUGAAUUAGAUGUUGAUAUUAUAUUUGAAAGUAGCCUUUGAUGUUGAGUUGUGGCAUAUCUUUGUCCAUGUGAGCUUUAAUCUGGAUUAGUCUUUCUCGGUACCCUCUAGCAUGUGUGU